Molecule: ribosomal RNA, 253 nt
Filed under: uncultured bacterium
Lineage: Bacteria
Description: partial 16S ribosomal RNA
Rfam family: Bacterial small subunit ribosomal RNA
Source: RNAcentral
UACGGAGGGGACUAGCGUUGUUCGGAAUUACUGGGCGUAAAGCGCACGUAGGCGGAUUUGUAAGUCAGGGGUGAAAUCCCGGGGCUCAACCUCGGAACUGCCUUUGAUACCGCAAAUCUCGAGUCCGGAAGAGGUGAGUGGAAUUCCUAGUGUAGAGGUGAAAUUCGUAGAUAUUAGGAAGAACACCAGUGGCGAAGGCGGCUCACUGGUCCGGUACUGACGCUGAGGCACGAAGGCCAGGGGAGCAAACGGG